Non-coding RNA from Caenorhabditis elegans, 21 nucleotides. The record is from Ensembl. NCBI's taxonomy places the organism in Eukaryota, Metazoa, Nematoda, Chromadorea, Rhabditida, Rhabditidae.
UUGGUUUGUGAACAUCUCAUG